GGGAGAAAAGAACUGCUCUGAAGAGAGACCCUUGUGCUGCGCCUCUCCAGGUCCCAGGGGCGAUGGGGUGGGGAUCAGGCACGGAGGACAGGAAGACAA
RNAcentral lists this long non-coding RNA (99 nucleotides) under Cairina moschata (Muscovy duck). Its description in RNAcentral is "domestica (muscovy Duck (domestic type)) lncRNA (ENSCMMG00000004514.1)". The record is from RNAcentral. Lineage: Eukaryota; Metazoa; Chordata; Aves; Anseriformes; Anatidae.